GGCAACCCACUCAGGUCCCCUUCCACACUGUGGAAGCUUUGUUCUUUUGCUCUUUGCAAUAAAUCUUGCUACUGCUGGCUCUUUGGGUCCACACUGCUUUUAUGAGCUGUGACACUCACCGCAAAGGUCUGCAGCUUCACUCCUGAAGCCAGCGAGACCACGAGCCCACUGGGAGGAAGGAACAACUCCAGACGCACUGCCUUAAGAGCUGUAACACUCACUGCGAAGGUCUGCAGCUUCACUCCUGAGCCAGCGAGACCACGAACCCACCAGAAGGAAGAAACUCCAAACACAGCUGAACAUCAGAAGGGACAAACUCCAGACGCGCCCCCUUAAGAGCUGUAGCACUCACCACGAGGGUCCGCGGCUUCAUUCUUGAAGUCAGUGAGACCAAGAACCCACCAAUUCCAGACACAACUGCACCCAGCCAUGAAAAGUUAUUUUUAAAAGUCUUCAUAUUUACAAGUGCUGAGUUUGUCUGCUUCUCCUUAUCGGGCCUCAAGAAAACGCAGCCAGACCCAGUUUGGUUCCGGAAACAAUAUGAGUUCAUCCCUUUUUCCUUGUUCACUCAGCUCCCAUAUAUCUCUUAGGCAGAGAUUUUUAGGAGUUCACAAUGCACACAUUUCCUUCCCUCAAAAGGGGAAAAUAUAUAUAAAUGUAAAACGAAAAGAGCAAAUGGAACAACUACAAAAAGAAAAUGAAACUUAAGAUUAAAAAAUGCAGAUCCAAAAAUUUUUUUCUAAACUGGGAGAUUAAGAAACAAAAUAAAAUUCUCAAACAUUAAUAUAUGCCAGGUUUUUUUGAGACUACAGCUGGCUAUGUAUCAUGGCUGGUUCUUCUGUACAUUUUAAAUUGAUGGACAGAUUACACUAAAACAAUUCAGGGCCGGGCGAGGUGGCUGAAGCCUGUAAUCACAGGACUUUGGGAGGACGAGGCGGGCGGAUCACUUGAGGUCAGGAGUUUGAAACCAGCCUGGCCAACUUGGCGAAACUCCAUCUCUAAUAAAAAUACACAAAUUAGCUGGGUGUGGUGGUACACACCUGUAGUCCCAGCUACUUGAGAAGCUGAGGCAGGAGUAUCACUUGAUCCCAGGAGGCGGACGUUGCAGUAAGCCGAGAUCGUGCCACUGCACUCCAGCCUGGGUGACAGAGCAAGACUCCUUCUGAAAAAAAGAAAAAGAAAAGGAAUUCAGAGCUCAGAUGGUCAACUUAUAACUUUAGAGUUAGCACACAGAGCCUUCUAAGUUCUCUGUUUUUUUUUCUGCCCACUUUAAAUCUGCUAACUUUUCUACUGGUAUUGAGAUAAAGCUCACUGUUUAUGGUAUUGCUAAUGCAAAAUUACUUAGAGAUUUUGUGUGUGUGUGUGUUUUUGACAAUUCAGACAGUUCUAACUAAAAUAUAAACAUUAAAAUGUUAACCCUAAGAUCAUUUAGAACUAAAGAAAAAAGGGGCAGAAGAUGUUUUUAAAAUCAAACUGCCAUAAGAAUUGCUUUACCCAAAAUUUUGAUCCACAGCCUUCAUUAAGUUAUCUGUUGAGACAAAGUUUAAGCCAUGUAAACAAGUUCCAAUUUUGUCAUCUGUAAUAUGGAUCCAACUGUCUUUUAUAAACUAGUAAGUUUAUGCUACUCUCUCAUGACUAAAAUUCUAAAAUAAAUACUAUAAAGUCUU
Homo sapiens (human) is the source of this 1667-nucleotide long non-coding RNA. RefSeq lists it as uncharacterized. The transcript is spliced from 2 exons. The record is from RefSeq and is a predicted model, not a curated record. NCBI's taxonomy places the organism in Eukaryota, Metazoa, Chordata, Mammalia, Primates, Hominidae.